UGAAUCCUACUUUGAAUUUCCAUUAGAAGUAAAACUCUUUUACCAAAAAGCGCCUUCAUUGGUUUUUUGCCAUUUAUUUUGUAGGGAUAAAUAUUAAACUUGGCAUGCAAAUGAAUACAUGUAUGUGCCGAAGCACAUUCCAUAUUCUAUAUGAUGAAAGGGAAGCAUCAUUAUAGGUGCCAUAGAUGGAGGUCAGCAGUCAGCAGAGGAGUUUGGGUCCUGGCAUCUGGGCUGUGCGUUAAUGAGUCCUCUUCCUGUUUUCCCUGCUCCUUUUACCCUGCUCCUGACGAUUGGUGCCUGGAAAGCGUUUUCGGAGGCAUCGGUCAUGCCGAACACGAAAAAAUGGCACCAUGGCCAGAGGAGCGGCCCAAGAAGCAGAAGGAGCGGAAAGAGCAGCCGCCACGGAUGGCCAUCCAGCGGCAUGAAGACGAAUUAUUGGUUCGCCUUUUGGAAAAAUUAAAUAUCGCGUGUUGGUAAUUUCCGCUUGGCUUCCCAUUGCCGCUGCCAUCGGGUGAAGUUGAGGCGAAUUAUUACGAUGAUUAGGCGACUGACAGUGCUCCCAGGCAUCGGCAUCCACAUCCACAUCCACAUCCAUAUCCACAUCCACAUCCACGUCCAUGUCCAUGUCGACCAUCCGGCCUGCCAGCCGUGAUCUGUAUGCAUGUUUCGCUCCGCAUUUCGCAUUUCGCAACUCGCAGCCCGCAACUCGCAUUUUCGCAUUUCGCAUUGCAUGUGUUGUGCGCAGCGUUUUGUGGACAUCUUCGUGGCAUUCUGGUUUUGGUUCUGGGCGAGGAUUAAAUUACUCCAGCCAAUCCCCUGGGCAUAUCGACGGAUCCAGCCGCUGUCAAUAUUGUGUCGCCUCGUAACCCGCACGAUCCGAUGUGGAUCCGAUCGCGGUACUAGGACCAGCACACAACACACAUCACACAAGUGCCCAAAAUAAGUGGUCAUACCCAUGGACAGGUAUUGUUUCUCUACCAGGAGGUAAAGUGCACUCUAUGCAUAUGGAAAGCCGCAAAUAAAGGUUAUUGGUGUUCGAUUUAUAGGUAGUAUAUACAUAUGCAAUAAGAAUGAGCAACUUAAAACUAGUUAUUAUAGUUCAUAAACUAGUAUUAUUUCAGCUUCACAAGUUUCCACUGGCCAAAGAAGACGGGUAUACAUGUCCUUAAAUUUUGGGAUAAAAGAAAGAAAAGGAGUGUUUUGAGAUACUGUUUAGGAUCCUUUUAAGACGCCUAUAUUAACAUUUUAGUAUCGCACUACUGAAAAGUUCAAUGCACCCCCGAUCCCAAAGUGACGCGCAGAAUGACUGACAUUCUUCCAGCAUAUGAUUGACAAUGGAAACGGGCCUGAAAUUACCCAAAGAAUCGAGGGAUGGGGCUGCCCAUAUCGAUACCACAUCCGCACCGGUGGCCGAUGGUUGGGGCGUUCAUGAAAAUGGCGAUGAAUUUGCGUGAGCUUAGUGCGCAGCUCGUUCGACAUUUUUGGUAGAGGCGUAGUUAAUGUAAGGAUAAUCACAAUAUUUUAAACUUUACAGCAGCACAUCAGCACACAUUGCACACAUUGAACACAUGUGGACCGUGGUGCGCAUAUGCAUUUUUGAUUCCCGCCCAAAGCCCAUGUAGCUCGAAGUCAAUUUAUUUGCUUUCUUAUCCUCGCGUUUGAAUAAUUGGCUACCAAGUUACCUUUACGAGAUCGAAGCGAACCUUCUGCAUUUUGCGUGUGGAGCCUCCUUGGGACUCGCUCGCAUUCGGAUCCCCAUUCGCAUUCACGUUCUCUAGCAUGCAUCAAUUACAAUCAGAUUAGUUGCAUGUGAGCAGGAACCCUUUGAUGGAAAACGAUCGCGCCAGAUUAAGUCGCGAAACGAUCCCAACCGAACGGUGGACUGACUGGCUGGCCAUUCUUCUCCAGUCUCGGCACGAAUCUCGGCCUCCGCAGAGCUGGUGGAUCAAUUGAAGUGGCUGGAAUGGAGUGAACUGGACUGGACAGUGUGUAUUGGAGAUCCAUUAAACUUCUGGCACCAAUUUGGCCAGCAAAAAGUGCUUAUGGCUUUUGAGCCAGAACUGGAGUUUCGUUUACUGGCUUUCGGGUCAGAAUUCAUAAUGGUCUUAACCUAGAUUUUUAAAUGCAGUCAAUAGAACCUAAAAUGAUUCAUAAAAAAUAUAUGAAAGCGGAUUAAAGGAAAAAACUAUAUUUCAGCCUAUUGCUAUAAAAGAAAUAGUCGAAAUGUAAAAUUAUAAGCCUUUAUGACAAUUUUUAGUCUUUCUCGCCCAUUUUCGCUAAAAAAUUUGUAUUUUAUGGCCACAACAUUGGAAAUAAAGGUCCAAAUGUGGAAAGUCAUAUAUUGUUGAACUCGUAAUUAAAUUCCCAAUCGAUUGGUGUUCCAGUUUACAAAUUUUAUUUUUUGUCAUUUUUUUCAACAUUUUUAUGAUGUUACCCCUUACAAAAAAUUCAAAAAUUAGCAAAAAUUUUUUUUUGCGAAAUUCCACAAAAAGUGAUAGGGGUCUUAUGCAUUGGUAAUUAGCUUCUCAAAACAGUUUUCAUUUUGGGAUAUAUGGCCAUUUUUAGCCAAGUUAUGAUAAAAAAUACUUCAAAAAUAUAGAGUUUUUACCAAAAGACGUUUUACUAAAAUUUCUUCGUAAAAGUAUCCGAUUUAUAGCCACAACAUUAGAAAUAUUGGUCCAAAUGUGGAAAGUCAUAUAUCGUUUAACUCGUAAUUAAAUUCCCAAUCGAUUGGUGUUCCAGUUUACAAAUUUUAUUUUUUGUCAUUUUUUUCAAAAUUUUAUGAUGUUACCCCUUACAAAAAAUUCAAAAAUUGGCAAAAAUUUAUUUUUGCGAAAUUCCACUAAAAGUGAUAGGGGUCUUAUGCAUUGGUAAUUAGCUUCUCAAAACAGUUUUCAUUUUGGGUAUAUGGCCAUUUUUAGCCAAGUUAUGAUAAAAAAAUCCUUCAUAAAUAUAGAGUUUUUGCCAAAAGACGUUUUCCUAAAAUUUCUUCGAAAAAUUAUCCGAUUUAUAGAAACAACAUUGGAAAUAAUGGUCCAAAUGUGGAAAGUCAUAUAUCGUUUUACUCGUAAUUAAAUUCCCAAUCGAUUGGUGUUCCAGUUUACAAAUUUUAUUUUUUGUCAUUUUUUUCAAAAUUUUAUGAUGUUACCCCUUACAAAAAAUUCAAAAAUUGGCAAAAAUUUAUUUUUGCGAAAUUCCACUAAAAGUGAUAGGGGUCUUAUGCAUUGGUAAUUAGCUUCUCAAAACAGUUUUCAUUUUGGGUAUAUGGCCAUUUUUAGCCAAGUUAUGAAAAAAAAUCCUUCAUAAAUAUAGAGUUUUUGCCAAAAGACGUUUUCCUAAAAUUUCUUCGAAAAAUUAUCCGAUUUAUAGAAACAACAUUGGAAAUAAUGGUCCAAAUGUGGAAAGUCAUAUAUCGUUUUACUCGUAAUUAAAUUCCCAAUCGAUUGGUGUUCCAGUUUACAAAUUUUAUUUUUUGUCAUUUUUUUCAAAAUUUUAUGAUGUUACCCCUUACAAAAAAUUCAAAAAUUGGCAAAAAUUUAUUUUUGCGAAAUUCCACUAAAAGUGAUAGGGGUCUUAUGCAUUGGUAAUUAGCUUCUCAAAACAGUUUUCAUUUUGGGUAUAUGGCCAUUUUUAGCCAAGUUAUGAUAAAAAAAUCCUUCAUAAAUAUAGAGUUUUUGCCAAAAGACGUUUUCCUAAAAUUUCUUCGAAAAAUUAUCCGAUUUAUAGCCACAACAUUGGAAAUAAUGGUUCAAAUGUGGAAAGUCAUAUAUCGUUGAACUCGUAAUUAAAUUCCCAAUCGAUUGGUGUUCCAGUUUACAAAUUUUAUUUUUUGUCAUUUUUUUCAAAAUUUUAUGAUGUUACCCCUUACAAAAAAUUCAAAAAUUGGCAAAAAUUUAUUUUUGCGAAAUUCCACAAAAAGUGAUAGGGGUCUUAUGCAUUGGUAAUUAGCUGCUAAAAACAGUUAUAGUCUUGAGUUUAUGGAUAUUUUAAGCGAAGUUAUGAUGAAAAACCCCUUUUAUAAUUAUAAGUUUUUACCGAAGAAGUUACAUAUAUACAUGUAUGUCUCUGGUUUUUCCCAUAAAUGAAUUAUAGUGUGUAUAUGCAGUAAAUAUAUUUUUAAGGACACAUAAACCUAAAGCUGUUAAAUGCUUUGAAUUUCUUAUAUCAGUCACAAUCCACUCGAUAUUGCAUUUCAAGCGAUUUUGCCCUUAAUUUGCGCCUUACAAUACCGUAAAAUGUAGGCUCGACGGGCCAGAACCACUUUUGAGUUUUCAUUUCGAUGAGAUGUAAAUAAGCAACAAGGACUUGUGUACUUUUGUAACGAAUUGCGCUUUGCAGAUACUGCAUAAUUUUGGCUCCGGAUGAUAAUGAUGAUGAAUACAACUUUUGGUAUAAAUUGCAAUUUAUUGUGUCUUGUGGUGAAAAAAAGUGUUUUUGUUUGAAUAGUUAUUUUUUUGCUCCCCUCAUUCGGCAUUGUUCUCCUCUUUUCUCCUUUUGUCCUUGUGAACAUCAAAGCUGAACCAGAGACUUUGUCAUCAGCCUUCUCUUUGCCUUUUUGUUUUUGCCAACCGGUUCGCGUCCUGACGUUGUUCUUGAAAAAGUUUUCAUUUAACACUGGGAAAUGAUUAGAAAUUUAUGUGCCUAAUAUAAUAUAUUACCAUGAACGGACUAGCAAGUGAUAUUGAUAGUUUUUCAUAUAUAAUUAUUAGGAGAGAAGGAUCAGAUUGUUUCACGAUUAGAAUACGCCCUUGAGGACUUGAAUCCCAUCAAGAUGAUAUUGGUCAACUGUAAAAUUUGAAAUGAGCAAAAGUUUGUUGUCCCAAGAAUCACGAUUAGUACAAUAUUUUGAUUGCUACCUGAAGGAUGUUGUGAAAGCAUCCUUGGAAGUGCCACUGCAUUCAGCAUAGCAACUUAUCGCAACCACGAUGUGAAAUGCCGGAAGGGUAUUCAUCCCCUUUGAUUAGCGCGUGUAAGUCGGAAAGGCUGGUUUGUUUUGUUCUGUUCUUGUUAAUGUUCCGUUUGGUGCUCCUCUGUUGAGCGGACCGAUGUCAUCCUGAGAAAGGACAUCCUAAUGAAUAUGUCAUUGUGCGCGAUAAAGUUUUCACUUUAUUGUCAGAAUUGUCUCGUUAUUAACACGAGUUGAGUUGAUCGAAACGUGGAAUGUGCGGUGAUAAGAGGCUUAGGUUUGGGCCAAGGGAUUCCCAAGACGGACGAAUUGGCAAUCGCAUUGUUUCCAGCGACAUGCAGCUACUUGAUUUCUGAAAAUGAAAAAAAAAAAAAACUCAAACCGGAUUUUAGUUGGCUUUCUGGGCUUAUUAUGUUGCAUACAUUCUGACACGCAAAGGCCUUUUUUUUACUUUAAAGCAAAAAAGGCAAACCAUGACCGCAAAAAAUCUUUGGCGAAAUCAGUUCCAAAUCGCUACGUCCUGUUUUUGUAAGAAGAUAUUUAUGAUAUUAACGAUGAAAACUGAGUCAAAGUAUCAAAAAAUACAAUUAUUAAAAUUCCGGUCUCAUGAUAGUUUAGCAUCAAGAAUAUCUAUCUUGUAUCUAGCACUUUUCUAUAACUAUCUAGAAAGGAAAAAACAGGCCUUCUCAAGCUGCAAAAUCGGCACGGUCGUAACAAGAUGACCUCUGAACUUAUUUAUAUUAACAAACAAAAAGAGAAAAAAACCCGUAUGUCCCAUAAGCCAUUUAGUGUUUGCAUAUAGAAAACAAACUCUUUAUUUAGCAUUCAAAUCGGUGGGCUAGGAAGACACGGUCCGAUUUGUUAUGUUUAUGUAACCCUUAUUCUUGUCUGUGGUAAGAGUGGAAAUUAUCACGGCGCCUCAAUGUAAAACUGGAUUAAAGGUCGCCGGACUUUGGGUCCUGUCAACGUUGCUACCAUCGUCAAUAAAUCAGCCAGUUGAAAAUUCCGUUACAGGACACGGGAUUCGUGAGAAAACGUCGUAUAAUAUCCCAAAGCCAAGAUGUUUUUCUUAUCCACAUCUAUCCCGAUGUCCGGCCAAAUGACAUUAGGGCAUUGGAAUUCUAAUCGAAAUACCGGUUGUCCGAACAACUACCAUCUAACACCAUAUCUGCAAUUACUUGUUCCGCACCAAAACGAACCGAUGUCCCGGGAACGGGUUCCCAUAACCGUGGAUGCACGGACGGAUGGCUGGGAUAGCCGGAUAUGAAUAUUAAGCAGCCGUGUGGGUAUUUAUCUAAUCUUAACAAAUGACUUGAUGUCUUCGUCACCGCUGUUAACCGUGCAGGACAUGCAAAUAAAGUUUUUACGCCAAGGUAUUUAUCUGGCGGGAAUUAGUGUCAAACUUUUCGGUCCGCAGUCCUGACAAAUGACACACAUCCAGGACGAAUUCGCAGCGCCUCCAGUUUGGCACCUUGACUGGUAGGAUAUAAGUUCAUAUUAAUAAUGCAGGAUAGUACUAAUUGGUUAUUUAAGCCAUAUAAAUUGAGUAUUUCAACUAAAAACAAUUAUAAUUAAAUGUUUUUAGUGCAAUUAAUUGCUAAAUCGAAAUCUUUUGUUUCCCUUAUAGACGUGCACCGGAAUCUGUGACAAAUCCAAGGGUAUGCAGCCCACGUAAGAACAUCAGGGGUUAGUUUUGGGCACUGUCCAUAGGAAACUGAAAUACCUAAUGAGUUCUGGAACUUUUUAACGACCAACAUUGUAUUCCUCCACAGUUGUUAUUAUAAUAACGAAAAACACACACACCUAUACACGGAUAAGUAUAUAGAUAUAUACUCCAUAUAUCCUUUCAUGUAAGCCCGAUAUGUGUGUGUGAGUGGGCCUAUAUGGCAUACUAAAUGUGGGCACUAAGCCCAGCGGUCGAGAGUGGGUUGGGGGAGGGCAUAAAAAACAAACCCCUUCACUUGUUGUUAAACAAACUCUUGCGAUUUCUAUUUUUCAUCGCCGGGACCGGUCGGUCGGUCGGUCGACCGGUCACUCUCACUACUCGAAAAGUGGUGCCGCAGAUGGCUCUGGUCCGCCUCCAAAGUGGACAGAAUUUAACGUUCCAGAGACUCGUUUAAUAAUUGCUCAGAGUGCGUGCGGUUUGGGAUGGAGAGUUGGCGGGCUGUUCAGAUGCUGGGAUGUUGGGAUGGGGGUCGAAUUGGGUCUACGUCAACCGUGUCGCUAGGCCUGUCGUACGGGACAGGCCCGUAACGGGCUGUGGGACUUAACCGGAUCCGGGACGAACCGGACAGUACUACUAACCCAUACCCUUGGCCGUAUCGUGGUGGACGGUCCGUUCAGGACCUUCCCGCGACCUUUCCCUGGACCGCUGGCAGUUGAAAUUUGUGAUAGAUGCGGUUUGCGGAGGCUGGGCGAUGGGGCGCGAGGUGUGGCACACACACACACAUACACACUCGCAGUGGCACACAACUACACACACACGCAGAGACACACGGACAGGGCGAGUGGACAGGACCUUUUGUAGCCUUAACCCCUAAGUGUCCAGAAAAGGGAUGAAACGGCUGAAAAAUGCUUACGCCGGGUUUCGAAAAUGUUAUUACGAAUAUAUUAUGCGCACAUACCAACAUAGGCAUAGGCCAACAUACAUACAUAAGUAAACUUUUACUUUUGUACAUAUGUAUAUGUACAGACAGACCUUGGUUAUAUAUUCAAAAUUAUAUGUGUUACAAACGCGUGCACAUAGUUUCUGCCACAUGGCCGCAGAUUAUAUAUACAUACCUUUGGAUAUAUUUAUAUACAAAAAUAUAUUCUAGUGUCCGGCAGUGGUCAACAGAUUUGGAUGGCUGGCCCAGCCUACGAAUGUCCUGAAAUGAGGUUAUUACGGUGGACACCAGGGGCCGGUGAUAAAGGCGUGAGUCCAUUUACCCCGGCCACAAGAACCCUUUUGUUUAGUUACCUCGACGCCCAGGAUGAAAUCGGGCUAGUAGUGUUGGCCGUAAAGUGCUCAGUGGCGAAUUAAAAAUUGACAUACUUAUACAUUUUACAGCUUACACGUGGCGAUAAAAGAUGUCCAUCUGGAUCCACACUAUGCCGCCAUCCAUCCCAUUGUUUUUUAUUUUCCACUUGCUUGAGGGGAAGGAAGAACCACUCCAGUUUGCAGUUCAUUCAUAUGCGACUUCCAUUUCCGAUUUGUUCUCAAUAAAAGUGAAAAAAAAAGAGUGCGGAGCACAUAUGCACAUAUAUCCUUCGGUCUGGUCGCAAAUUUAAUAACACUUGCAUAAAGAAAUUUCCAAGUCACGAAAUUGCUGUGCGACCUUGUGAACUUUGGUCUUAAAAAAGAAUUUAACUGAUGCCAGACGUUUGAGGAAAGUUUUACUUUAGUUAAGUAUCAUUGAGCCAAGGAGUCUAGCCAAGAACUUUGCCCAACAAGUGGGACAAAGAGUCAAUUUAACCUGUCAUUACAAAAACAUUCUUGAGAAGAUUUCUUUGAGCUGACCAAUUGGCUACAAAUUCAAUGGAAGUUGCAUUAUAGCUCUUGAUUACCCUCGUUAUUGAUGGAUUAUAAUCAAUUAAGUGCCAAAAGGGUAUUUGGGCAUAUAUAGUAUAUUAUGGCCAGUUUUCAUUAUUUUAUAUUAGUAAACAAAAGAGGAAAGGAUGGGGAAAAAUCUUAAUUAAAUGUGCCAUUCGUUUGCUUUUUGAAUGGAUAUAGUUGUUUGCUUCCUCAAAAUAGCUACAUUCUAUUCAUAUUUUUCUUAAAAGGAAACAAGAGCUCAAUUUAAAAAGUAUUUUAUAAGAUUCUUACGUUAUUAAUGAUCCAUCUAAUGAUAAGGAUUAACUAUAUAAUCAAAAGCAAAGCAGAGUAUAUAAGACACUUAAAUGAAAUCGUAGAUUUGUAGCCGCACUUGAUAUUAUUAAUAGCAUAUUAGAAUAUAUUAGCAUAUAUUAAUAGCAUAGAUUAGAUAGUUAAGUUAAGAUUUCUUAGAGAAUAUACAGCUAAUAAAUACAUUUAAUUUAUUUAAGAAUUAAGAAAAUUUAAGCGCAUCUUUGUACAAAAGGAUGUGCACACUUGACGCCCUUUUGGGCAUCUCCCGCACAAUUGACUUACCUUUGGGCGCCCUUAUGGACCAUCUUCAACCAAAUGGCAGGUGCUGAUGUUGUGAUGUUGGCCAAACCAGCUGUUGGCGACCACCGUUUUUUUUUGUUUUUCUCCUGCAUUUCCCAUUUUUUCUGCUGCACAUGACACUCCAUCGCGAACGAGCUGCAAACAACGGGCAAAAAAGGCGGACGGCAUUGAAUUACGGUCGGAGCCAUCAAAAUUGCACCAUAUGGAAAUUAAGUUGGCAACUGCCGUGAUACUCUGGGCACUACGAUGCGAGAAAGUCGCGAAAAACGGCAGCAAAAAAGCACAUCUGCAGUCGUGUGUGCAAAGGUCAAGCCGGUGGCAUUUCACCGCCAUUUCACUGCCAUUUCACCUUUCGCCGAUGCGCCAAACGCUGCGGUGAAACAAAAAGCCCCUUUUUUGGAGUGCAGGAUGCAGGGUGCAGAAUUCAGAAUUCCAAGUGAUUUGGCGAAAAAAACGCGCCGUUUAAGGGGAUUAGGCAGUCAGUUGGAAACCGCUUGCUUGUUUGCCCGGUGGCAUGCAGCUUGAUGCACUUGACCCGUUUUUUUCUUUUGCUGCCACCGCCACUUUGGAGUGCGGCGUGCAGUUCUUUAUGCCCCGGCUGCCUGCUGGAUGCGUGGCAAAGUGGUGGGAUCGGUAUACUCCUCCAUUGGAGGAGGACCAAGUCAGGCCAUCGUUUGCCAUGCGAUACUGUCGCCGAUUAGGCGGCUAUAGACGGGAAAAGUGUUUUCGGCGUGUGUUCGCCUCGAUGUUUGUUGGUUUUUGACGCGGCGCCGCGUAAAAAGCGCAUUUUUUCCACUAGAGCGUGUUUUUUUCGCGUUGCCUGCAACCUCAACUUUUCGGUCACUUUUUCUGCACUCUGACGGCUUAAUUGGUGAACAUUGUUCCCUAACACUACAUUCAUGCGACGGGGGCAUCAUAAACAACCAGCAAACUAGUCAUAACAAGUCGUUUUAGGAUCGUUUAUUGAAUGCAGUUGCUAGUUUUGCAAAUUAAGUGGCAAAAGUGGCAGCUUAGCGGUUAAAUAUUUGCUAGUUUUUAAAUAUAAAAGUAAGGAGUUGUAUAUUUCAAUACUUCAGAUUAAAUCCUUCUUACUUUUAAAGUAAAUAAUUCAUAGUUUUUCUUCACAACAUGAGAAUAUGUAGAUGCAAGAAAUGCUAGCAUAUUUUUUGGCGUUAGCCCGCUUGCUUUAAAAAUAUCUUAAGUUUAAUUGGCUUCUAUGUUCUUAGUUUCGUAAUAAAUAGAUUUUAAUAUCUUACAAUAUUCGGGAGAUAAGUUCGGUUCUAGUAAAUUGCAAUGAUGGCCACCGUUUAUAUCGACAAAAUAGACGGUUUCCAUAUGUGAGAUUUGAAAUUCAUAAGCCAGCAAUUGCAGCCUGCUUCCCUCCACCAAGUUUUAUUGUUUUUGCUAAAUCUGCACUAUUAUUAUACUAUUUUGAGAUACAGCUUAUCUAUUGUUGGGCAAGUGCUGUGUGUUAAUUGGAGAGACAUGUAUGUGUGUUUGAAUGCAUUUUCUCAAAGACCUGCAUCCGCUGGUUCUCCAUCGUCUUCAUACUUGGUCUUUCGUCCUGGCCAUAUCCUCAUCCACAUCCACGUUCUCAUCCACAUCUACAAUCACAUUUUGCAUUCUUGUACAUGGAUGGCCGCUCCUUCAUUUCCAACCGCUGUGGAUGCAUAAUUGCUUACGGUGCAGCCUGCUGGCAGGAUGAGAUGGUGAGCUGGAAAUAGAAAUCUGAAGUAAGGAAAGAUGCCGGACACGGCAGGACAUCUGCCAUUGUUCGCAUGUGUGUGUGCGUGUUUGUGUGUGUGUGUGUGUGUGCGUGUUUCAGGCUGUGCGCUUGUGUAUAUUCAAGUAUAUUUGAAUUUUCUCCUGGCGCUGGGCAUACUCGUAUAUGGCAUAUAUCCCAGUGAGUGGGGUCAGUCGUCCUGACUCCGUCUUGCUGCCAUUCUAGGUCCUGUCAAAACUAAAACGCGCCGCUGCCAGAGACCAGAGCCCUGAGUCCUGAGUCCUGCGUUCUGCGUUCUGAGUCCUGCGUCCAGACAUGCACAACUUUCGCUCCAUACAAUAUCAGCAAUUUCCUUCGUUAGUCAUUCGUUUCCUCGCAUCUCACAUCUCCGCCUUGUUGUUAUGGCUCCCACCGUUCAGCCCUGUUCAGUGCUGCGAAUUUGGGCCCGUCCCAUUAGCCCGUUUCACUUUGAUGCAGAAGCUGCCCGCCCGGGAGAAUGUUGGGCAGCCGGAGGAGGAGGUCCUUCGCUCGGACUUCGGCGUCUGGACUAGCAACCAGAGGACAUCUCGACGACGACAACUCCUAAGCUCACGUAUAUUCCACCGCCGCAUGCCGUUUGCAUGUGUGCUUGCUUCAACGCCACAUACCAUACUCCGUGCUCCGGGCUCCUAACUGCGGUCCCCAAUCUCCGAUCCCCCGUGUCCUCGAUAUGACCAGACCCAAAAACCCCGGACACACUUGGAGUCGGUGGGCAUACUCAUACAUGGACACAUAAUGUAAAUGUCCGCAAUUUCUUUUUGGCCAUCUCUUAGCUGCCGCUGCGUUCUUGCCAUUUAGACUGGGCAUCGAAUACGAGUACGGGCAUGUGGCCACCACCUCCGCCUCCGCCUCCAGCUUCUCAUUUUCCAGCUCCAUCUCCUUACUCCCUCCCUCGUUACGGCGCAAAUCGCCGGACUGCGACUACGACUACGACGAAGGCGCAGAGCAGCGGAGAUUGCUUCUGCUGGCGCUGCCGCUGCCUUCGUCACCACUUUUCCAUCAUAGCACCCAACCACCUGGCGCCAAAGGCAAGUCGAUCGAUAAUUUCCAUAGUUGACCACUGCUGUGUAUGCGAAUUUUGAAGCGGACAUCUACACAAACACAUGGCCAGCGGACGGAGGCAUCCUUUGGCCACCGCACCAUCGCCCCAACGGCCCACCGAUCCGCCACCCACCGCACAUCCACAUCCACAUCCACAUCCAUAUCCACGUCCACGUCCGCCCACCGGCACACAUACUGGCGCACACUCUUAGACGUUACAGCAGCGAGCUGAAGGCAGAGCCAAGCUUUCUAGUAGCACACACGCACAGCAGCGGCCACGAAACUAGCACUGAGAUUAUGAAAUCCUCACCUUUCGCUUUUUAUUCGAAUAAUUUAAAAUAAAAUAUAACUAAGUUGGCUUAAGCAUUAAGCAUAAGUAGUGCAUACUAAUCAAUAAUAUAAAUAACUAAUUGAGAAAUUUCUUUAAAAUACUUGAUGGACUUAAUCUAAAGUUCUAUAGAAUGUAUUUUGGGUACGCAAUCUUCAUAGGCAGCAUCUGUAGACCUACCAUUUCGUCACCUGCUGUUUGCAGCAUCUACGUCAACGGUCCUGGCCAGCAUGGACAUCAGGCUCUGGCUAUCAGGGAUCCGAGCGAAUGGGUAGGUGGGCAGCCAAGUGGGGCGGAUGACGUGGGUUGGGUGGGGUGUUUCGUUGGCAACGGCAAAAGCAAAGGCAACCGUGCUGGUCAGCCGGGCCCACAAUAAGUAAGGGUCUGCCAUGAAGAUAAAACGAAGACCAAGGAACGAACUGUUUCUGCAAAAUGUUGUUUGCAUACGACUUGCGACAUGUGAAAAGGAUAAGAGUGAAUGUGUGUGUGUGUGUGUGUGCGUGUGGAAGGAGGUGGGCGGGGGUGUAUGUGUGUGUGAGUGAGUGAGUGAGUGAGUAGGUGGGCGGAUGGGUGGUUGGUUAGUGGGUCUGUUGGCCGCUGUAUGUAUACGUGCAUUUAGAUGGACGGGAAAGCGGACGUUGGCGGCAAAUACGUGAGUGGGAGUCCGGCGCGUUUGGGGACCUCGGACUCGUCGUGGGCAAUUGCCACGACCACCGGAGUGGGUGGUGGGUUGGUGGUGGUCCGGGCUGGUCCAGGGCGGUGCGGAAUGGGCCUGGUCAAGCCACGCGGCUGGGAUAGACGACUUGAUGGUUCGAAUGUGGACGGAGCGCCGUGGAGUGGAGUGGAGUGAAGUGGCAUGGCGUGGCGUGGCAUGGAGAUGUGGCGAUGCUUAGAUGGUGGAUGCGGAGGAGGAAGGCGAAGGUUUUCCAGAGCAACGGCUACGGUUCUCGAGCAGCUUUUGGCGGAGUGGGUGGCUUGGGUGGCCUUUCGAAUGCUUGACUGCCCAGCGAGUGAGUGAGUGGGUGGUUUGGUGGCUGGAUGGUGAGUGGACGACGCAAAGAUGUACGCUAGGCGAUUGUAAAAUUUCACAUUUUAGAGAAUUAGACGUUUACUGGGAUACAAGCACACUCCCACACACAAGCACACACAUACACACACACAGACUCACACACAUGUCCGGUCAUCUAUUGCUUAAAUUUAAGAAUGUGUAUAUAUGCAUGUAUUCGUUUGUAUGUACGCAACCUGUGAACAAUAUACGUGAGUUUGAGGGUUCUUCGUUGGCAUAUGUAUGUAUAUACAUAUGUAUAUGUAUUUUUGGGUUUGGCUCUGCGAAAGUUUGGAAUCUUGUAUAUAAGUAGUAGAUGCCACUGCCUUUCGGCCAUGUAUAAAAUAUCAAAAUUUUGCUUAGACAUUAAUUUGCCAGCAAGUACACGGCGAUACACAGCUAACCGCACAUGCAUAUCUAUAUGCGUAUGUAUAUAUCUCAACAGUAUCGAGCUUAUGGUUGGUUUUAAUAUUUUCUGAUUGUUGUAUAUUUAAGAUUUUAGGCAGACGUCGCCUGCAUCUUGCCAUAUUGCCAUUUUGCCAUCUUGCCAUCUUGCAAUCCUGCAAGGCAAGCCAUCUAGUCGUCCUGCAUCCGUAAUACGUUUGUAAUUAGUCUAAUGUACCUUCUCCUUGUGGCUGCCCGAAUCCCCAAUUAAUUUCAGCAUGCGCUAUUUUCACCGCUGCAAUACGCAUCCUGGUGCAUCAAAUUCUAUUUUGCUUAGGUUGCUGAUAAUUAGAAAGACGCAGGAACAAAGGAAUAGUAAAGAUAGUACAGAAUUUAUAUUACAUAUAAUUUUUAAACUCAAAUUUUUAGCUUAACGUAUAAAGCCUCGGCAAACAAAAGGCAACAGAUCUUGAAUUUUAUGUAUAUUUUAUCGAUUCACGAAGGUCGAACAAAUCGCCCUUAAAGUUCACAAGGUAAUAACAUUUCCGUCAGUCUGUCAAUGUAAGACGCACCCUUCGCAUCGAAAAAAUCUAAUACUUGGAGAGCUGUCGUAACCAUUUUAUGAUGGUUUUUACACACAAGAUGACCGUAUUUACAUAUAUUUACGAGUCUGACACGCAAUCUCUUACAUAGUAAAAUAGGUGUACAUAUUAACUGCCCUAAUCGCAUCGAUUUGGUAUUUAUGUUGAUAGUGGAUUUAUUAAGUGCAGAUACUUAUUGGGGCACUACUUUGUUAAUAAAGCCGUAGAAUUAGGGGAAUAAAUCGAAUUAGAGCAUAAUUGCGUAAGUAUUUUGUAAGUGAUUAGGUGUUUGCUUCAUUUAUGUAUAUGAAUGAAGGAACAAAUCAAUUUUUUUUUAAUGUCUGCGCCAGAAAAUGAUUUUCUUAGAUUUAAAAAAAAAAUUGCGUAUACGACCCGUUGGACAUAAUUGAUUUCGCUUCUAGACAUUUUUAAUAUUGUACAGAAAUAUAAGUAAGCAGGAAUAUAGUGAAAAGUAAAUUUUAAUUAAGGCAACUAUUUCGCAUUGCUCCUUACAAGAGAAAUUAAGAAACCUGUGAAAUCGCGUAUACGCCAUGUUUACCGCGGGUAAGUACACUAGUACAUAAGUAGUUACUUUAUUUUAAAUCCUGUAAAUAAUAUGAUGCGUUACUUUAUUAGUAAAUAUACUCAUUGAUGGUUUCGUGCAGCUAGAUACUUAUUUCUUUCUCUUGUAUUAAGUUGAAUCACAAAUGCCAAUAGAACAUUGGCUAAGUUAUCGGUUAUUUAUUCAAUUAAAUGCGUAAAUCUUUUUCCACCAACUCAAACCUGUUGCGAAAAAGUGCUCCCUAAUCGUUUCGUUGGCCUUGAACGGGGGCCAUUGACGCCAUGAAUGUGUAACAUCCUCAUUUGAGGUUCAAGGUUAUGAUUAUUUACGACAAAGUAUGUACUUCCGUACAUGAUUGCCGGACAUAUACAUAGGCAUAUGUACCAUGUGCAGAGCCCGCAUGCAUGUGCAUUGGGUUCCCCGCAUGCACAUGCCCAUGCCCAUUUAUAACUAAGUACCUACUUAUGGACCCCGCUGGCGGGAGGCUGGCAAACGGCAUAAAUGCAGCUGAAUGCAGCUCAUUAUCAUUUAAAUACGCAGUGUGCUGGCCUAAUUUGCAGGAAUGCGUUAGUGUGCGUGCGUCUGUGUUGGUGUUGACUUGACUAUUUAUGAGCCAAAAGCAACAAACGUGCUCCACUCAAGCACAUGCAGUGGCAUAUACCGGCUUAUACAUAAACGCAAUUAUAGGGACAUAAAUGUGUACAUAAUUAUAAUGCACAUUAUAACGUCUAGCCACAUAGCACAAUUCGGUUGUCCUUACAGGAAGUCCGAAUUAUAGUAAAUACUUGGUCACUCAGGCGAGUAAAUAAAUGCAUACAACCCGUGCACAUACUUAACUGAAUGAGUUGUUUGAUUUCAUUGCCAAUUGAGAGCCCAGUGGCCUUGUGAUUUAAAUGCAUUGUACAUAGUGACAUUCACACAUAAUAAGUCAGUUAAACAAUUGUGUCAUGCUUAAUUAGCACAGCUCAUGCUACGAAAUGGCUUUUGAUUUCUACACAAAUUAGGUGUAAAUAAUAAAAGAAGCUGAAUAAAACUAAUUGAGAAUACAUUCAUAAGA
Non-coding RNA from Drosophila melanogaster (fruit fly), 15792 nucleotides. Lineage: Eukaryota; Metazoa; Arthropoda; Insecta; Diptera; Drosophilidae. The record is from Ensembl.